Molecule: ribosomal RNA, 1315 nt
Filed under: Arthrobacter sp. KAR17
Lineage: Bacteria; Bacillati; Actinomycetota; Actinomycetes; Micrococcales; Micrococcaceae
Description: bacterial SSU rRNA
Rfam family: Bacterial small subunit ribosomal RNA
Source: RNAcentral
CUUACACAUGCAAGUCGAACGAUGAACUGGCGCUUGCGUCGGGGAUUAGUGGCGAACGGGUGAGUAACACGUGAGUAACCUGCCCUUAACUCUGGGAUAAGCCUGGGAAACUGGGUCUAAUACUGGAUAUUGACUUUUCCUCGCAUGGGGUUUGGUUGAAAGAUUUUUUGGUUUUGGAUGGACUCGCGGCCUAUCAGCUUGUUGGUAUGGGUAAUGGCCUACCAAGGCGACGACGGGUAGCCGGCCUGAGAGGGUGACCGGCCACACUGGGACUGAGACACGGCCCAGACUCCUACGGGAGGCAGCAGUGGGGAAUAUUGCACAAUGGGCGAAAGCCUGAUGCAGCGACGCCGCGUGAGGGAUGACGGCCUUCGGGUUGUAAACCUCUUUCAGUAGGGAACAAGGCCACACGUUGUGUGGUUGAGGGUACUUGCAGAAGAAGCGCCGGCUAACUACGUGCCAGCAGCCGCGGUAAUACGUAGGGCGCAAGCGUUAUCCGGAAUUAUUGGGCGUAAAGAGCUCGUAGGCGGUUUGUCGCGUCUGCCGUGAAAGUCCGGGGCUCAACUCCGGAUCUGCGGUGGGUACGGGCAGACUAGAGUGAUGUAGGGGAGACUGGAAUUCCUGGUGUAGCGGUGAAAUGCGCAGAUAUCAGGAGGAACACCGAUGGCGAAGGCAGGUCUCUGGGCAUUAACUGACGCUGAGGAGCGAAAGCAUGGGGAGCGAACAGGAUUAGAUACCCUGGUAGUCCAUGCCGUAAACGUUGGGCACUAGGUGUGGGGGACAUUCCACGUUUUCCGCGCCGUAGCUAACGCAUUAAGUGCCCCGCCUGGGGAGUACGGCCGCAAGGCUAAAACUCAAAGGAAUUGACGGGGGCCCGCACAAGCGGCGGAGCAUGCGGAUUAAUUCGAUGCAACGCGAAGAACCUUACCAAGGCUUGACAUGAACUGGAAACGCCCGGAAACGGGUGCCCCGCUUGCGGCCGGUUUACAGGUGGUGCAUGGUUGUCGUCAGCUCGUGUCGUGAGAUGUUGGGUUAAGUCCCGCAACGAGCGCAACCCUCGUUCUAUGUUGCCAGCACGUAAUGGUGGGGACUCAUGGGAGACUGCCGGGGUCAACUCGGAGGAAGGUGAGGACGACGUCAAAUCAUCAUGCCCCUUAUGUCUUGGGCUUCACGCAUGCUACAAUGGCCGGUACAAUGGGUUGCGAUACUGUGAGGUGGAGCUAAUCCCAAAAAGCCGGUCUCAGUUCGGAUUGGGGUCUGCAACUCGACCCCAUGAAGUCGGAGUCGCUAGUAAUCGCAGAUCAGCAACGCUGCG